This 861-nucleotide long non-coding RNA is filed under the name Homo sapiens (human). RNAcentral describes it as "HSALNT0350041". The stretch from base 31 to 208 matches the Rfam family "Pvt1 oncogene conserved region 1". Lineage: Eukaryota; Metazoa; Chordata; Mammalia; Primates; Hominidae. The record is from RNAcentral.
GCGCUCCUCCGGGCAGAGCGCGUGUGGCGGCCGAGCACAUGGGCCCGCGGGCCGGGCGGGCUCGGGGCGGCCGGGACGAGGAGGGGCGACGACGAGCUGCGAGCAAAGAUGUGCCCCGGGACCCCCGGCACCUUCCAGUGGAUUUCCUUGCGGAAAGGAUGUUGGCGGUCCCUGUGACCUGUGGAGACACGGCCAGAUCUGCCCUCCAGCCUGAUCUUUUGGCCAGAAGGAGAUUAAAAAGAUGCCCCUCAAGAUGGCUGUGCCUGUCAGCUGCAUGGAGCUUCGUUCAAGUAUUUUCUGAGCCUGAUGGAUUUACAGUGAUCUUCAGUGGUCUGGGGAAUAACGCUGGUGGAACCAUGCACUGGAAUGACACACGCCCGGCACAUUUCAGGAUACUAAAAGUGGUUUUAAGGGAGGCUGUGGCUGAAUGCCUCAUGGAUUCUUACAGCUUGGAUGUCCAUGGGGGACGAAGGACUGCAGCUGGCUGAGAGGGUUGAGAUCUCUGUUUACUUAGAUCUCUGCCAACUUCCUUUGGGUCUCCCUAUGGAAUGUAAGACCCCGACUCUUCCUGGUGAAGCAUCUGAUGCACGUUCCAUCCGGCGCUCAGCUGGGCUUGAGGACUUCGCAGGUGAGCAGUAACGGAAAUCAGCCCCGUUUAUUCCUCCCAGCACCUGCCUUAUCCAACUCCCCACGCUGUGGCUGAGUCCCAGCCUGCUAUGGAAGCAUCACUGGACUCCCAUUGAACUCUGUGCAGAUUCGCUGUUCGUAGACAUGGUACCUGAUGGACACCAAGCUACGUACAGCUUCAAGGCCCCUUCUUUCUUUGCUAAUAAAAAAUAAAAAAUAAAAACAUAAUACACG